AUUAGCAUGCAUGUCUCAGUACAUGCCGCAUUAAGGUGAAACCGCGAAUGGCUCAUUAAAUCAGUUAUGGUUUCUUAGAUCAUACCUACAUUUACUUGGAUAACUGUGGUAAUUCUAGAGCUAAUACAUGCAAACAGAUUCCGACCAGAGAUGGUAGGAAUGCUUUUAUUAGAUCAAAACCAAUCGGUGGCGGAUGGCUCGUCUGUCCGUCCAUCGUUCGUUUUGGUGACUCUGAAUAACUUUGUGCUGAUCGCAUGGUCAUCUAGCACCGGCGACGCAUCUUUCAAAUGUCUGCCUUAUCAACUGUCGAUGGUAGGUUCUGCGCCUACCAUGGUUGUAACGGGUAACGGGGAAUCAGGGUUCGAUUCCGGAGAGGGAGCCUGAGAAACAGCUACCACAUCCAAGGAAGGCAGCAGGCGCGCAAAUUACCCACUCCCGGCACGGGGAGGUAGUGACGAAAAAUAACGAUACGGGACUCAUCCGAGGCCCCGUAAUCGGAAUGAGUACACUUUAAAUCCUUUAACGAGGACCAAUUGGAGGGCAAGUCUGGUGCCAGCAGCCGCGGUAAUUCCAGCUCCAAUAGCGUAUAUUAAAGUUGUUGCGGUUAAAAAGCUCGUAGUUGAAUCUGUGUGUCACAGUGUCGGUUCACCGCUCGCGGUGUUUAACUGGCAUUAUGUGGUACGUCCUAUCGGUGGGCUUAGCUCCUCGCGGGCGGUCCAACUAAUAUCCCAUCGCGGUGCUCUUCACUGAGUGUCGAGGUGGGCCGAUACGUUUACUUUGAACAAAUUAGAGUGCUUAAAGCAGGCUACCUUCGCCUGAAUACUGUGUGCAUGGAAUAAUGGAAUAGGACCUCGGUUCUAUUUUGUUGGUUUUCGGAGCCCCGAGGUAAUGAUUAAUAGGGACAGAUGGGGGGCAUUCGUAUUGCGACGUUAGAGGUGAAAUUCUUGGAUCGUCGCAAGACGGACAGAAGCGAAGCAUUUGCCAAAAUGUUUUUCAUUA
Molecule: ribosomal RNA, 999 nt
Filed under: Bombus ussurensis
Lineage: Eukaryota; Metazoa; Arthropoda; Insecta; Hymenoptera; Apidae
Description: SSU rRNA
Rfam family: Eukaryotic small subunit ribosomal RNA
Source: RNAcentral